This 420-nucleotide ribosomal RNA is filed under the name Notophyllum japonicum. Its description in RNAcentral is "partial 16S ribosomal RNA". It matches the Rfam family "Bacterial large subunit ribosomal RNA", at positions 1959 to 2598 of the family's 2925-position model. Lineage: Eukaryota; Metazoa; Annelida; Polychaeta; Phyllodocida; Phyllodocidae. The record is from RNAcentral.
GCAUAAUCAUUUGUUCUUUAAUUGGGGACUGGAAUGAAUGGAUAUACGAAAUUAAAUCUGUCUCUUUUUUAGGAGUAUAAAUUGUAUUUUAGGUGAAGAUACCUAAAUUUUAAUGAGGGACAAAAAGACCCUAUUGAGCUUUACUAUUGUAAGAAUUUAAUGAAUAAUUUACUUUUUUACUUAAAUUUAGUUUGGUUGGGGUAACAAAGAAAUAUAUAAAUUUUUCUUGAUUAUCUAGAAUAAUAAUUCUUUUUAUAGAUCUAUUUUUAUGAUAAGGAGAAAAAGUUACCAUAGGAUAACAGGCUAAUUCUUUUGUAGAGUUCAAAUUGAUAAAAGAGUUUGGCACCUCGAUGUUGGCUUAAGAUAACCUAUAGAUGCAGCAGUUUAUAAGGGUUGGUUUGUUCAACCAUUAAAAUCUUA